RNAcentral lists this ribosomal RNA (824 nucleotides) under Streptomyces atrovirens. RNAcentral describes it as "bacterial SSU rRNA". It matches the Rfam family "Bacterial small subunit ribosomal RNA", at positions 66 to 904 of the family's 1533-position model. Lineage: Bacteria; Bacillati; Actinomycetota; Actinomycetes; Kitasatosporales; Streptomycetaceae. The record is from RNAcentral.
ACGAUGAACCACUUCGGUGGGGAUUAGUGGCGAACGGGUGAGUAACACGUGGGCAAUCUGCCCUGCACUCUGGGACAAGCCCUGGAAACGGGGUCUAAUACCGGAUACUGACCCGCCUGGGCAUCCAGGCGGUUCGAAAGCUCCGGCGGUGCAGGAUGAGCCCGCGGCCUAUCAGCUUGUUGGUGAGGUAACGGCUCACCAAGGCGACGACGGGUAGCCGGCCUGAGAGGGCGACCGGCCACACUGGGACUGAGACACGGCCCAGACUCCUACGGGAGGCAGCAGUGGGGAAUAUUGCACAAUGGGCGCAAGCCUGAUGCAGCGACGCCGCGUGAGGGAUGACGGCCUUCGGGUUGUAAACCUCUUUCAGCAGGGAAGAAGCGCAAGUGACGGUACCUGCAGAAGAAGCGCCGGCUAACUACGUGCCAGCAGCCGCGGUAAUACGUAGGGCGCGAGCGUUGUCCGGAAUUAUUGGGCGUAAAGAGCUCGUAGGCGGCUUGUCGCGUCGGUUGUGAAAGCCCGGGGCUUAACCCCGGGUCUGCAGUCGAUACGGGCAGGCUAGAGUUCGGUAGGGGAGAUCGGAAUUCCUGGUGUAGCGGUGAAAUGCGCAGAUAUCAGGAGGAACACCGGUGGCGAAGGCGGAUCUCUGGGCCGAUACUGACGCUGAGGAGCGAAAGCGUGGGGAGCGAACAGGAUUAGAUACCCUGGUAGUCCACGCCGUAAACGGUGGGCACUAGGUGUGGGCGACAUUCCACGUCGUCCGUGCCGCAGCUAACGCAUUAAGUGCCCCGCCUGGGGAGUACGGCCGCAAGCUUAAAACUCAA